CUAUACUACUUGGGUUAAUAUGCUUAAUUUUUACAACCUCCAAUAGCGCUUCCUUCACUUCCUCGCGGGCUUCCGUCCCGAGCUCUGAUAUCCCGCCUUCAUCAUGCCCGUUCUUGAGUUUCCCGAGCAGUUGGGACACUUCGGCGUGUACGUUUCGGGCUUUCCGCAGAGAUAGCAGAAUACUCUGCGUUCCUUGGCCAUACACUCUCGGAACCCGUGGCCAACUUCUCCACAAUUCCAGCAGCCCAGCCUCGGCUUCGCUGUCAGGUGGGUUUCCUCAACCAUCACCUCUUCCUCUCCUUCCAACAGCUCCUCCGA
This 318-nucleotide long non-coding RNA is filed under the name Drosophila guanche. Lineage: Eukaryota; Metazoa; Arthropoda; Insecta; Diptera; Drosophilidae. The record is from RNAcentral.